AGAGCGAACGCUGGCGGCGUGCCUAACACAUGCAAGUCGAACGUGAAAUGGGGCAACCCAAAGUAAAGUGGCGUACGGGUGAGUAACACGUAGGUAAUCUACCAAACAAUCUGGAAUAACCGACCGAAAGGUUGGCUAAUACUGGAUAGAGCGACGGAAUCCGUAAUUGGGUUUUUCGGGAAAGGGAGCUCGCAAGAGCCUUCGUUGUUUGAUGAGCCUGCGUCUGAUUAGCUAGUUGGCGGGGUAAUGGCCCACCAAGGCGAUGAUCGGUAGC
Molecule: ribosomal RNA, 274 nt
Filed under: uncultured bacterium
Lineage: Bacteria
Description: partial small subunit ribosomal RNA
Rfam family: Bacterial small subunit ribosomal RNA
Source: RNAcentral